UACAGAGGGUGCAAGCGUUAAUCGGAAUUACUGGGCGUAAAGCGUGUGUAGGUGGUUUGCUAAGUCAGGUGUGAAAUCCCUGGGCUCAACCUAGGAAUUGCAUUUGAUACUGGCAGACUAGAGUCCGGGAGAGGAGAAUGGAAUUCCUGGUGUAGCGGUGAAAUGCGCAGAUAUCAGGAAGAACACCCGUGGCGAAGGCGGUUCUCUGGGACGGUACUGACGCUGAGACGCGAAAGCGUGGGGAGCGAACAGG
RNAcentral lists this ribosomal RNA (253 nucleotides) under uncultured bacterium. Its description in RNAcentral is "partial 16S ribosomal RNA". It matches the Rfam family "Bacterial small subunit ribosomal RNA", at positions 524 to 776 of the family's 1533-position model. The record is from RNAcentral.